Molecule: ribosomal RNA, 253 nt
Filed under: uncultured bacterium
Lineage: Bacteria
Description: partial 16S ribosomal RNA
Rfam family: Bacterial small subunit ribosomal RNA
Source: RNAcentral
UACGGAGGGUGCAAACGUUGCUCGGAAUCAUUGGGCGUAAAGCGCACGUAGGCGGGUUGUUAAGUCGGAUGUGAAAUCCCUCAGCUUAACUGAGGAAGUGCACUCGAAACUGGCAGCCUUGAGUAUGGAAGAGGGUCGCGGAAUUCCCGGUGUAGAGGUGAAAUUCGUAGAUAUCGGGAGGAACACCAGUGGCGAAGGCGGCGACCUGGGCCAAUACUGACGCUGAGGUGCGAAAGCGUGGGGAGCAAACAGG